Long non-coding RNA from Vespa mandarinia (Asian giant hornet), 3020 nucleotides. RefSeq lists it as uncharacterized. The record is from RefSeq and is a predicted model, not a curated record. Lineage: Eukaryota; Metazoa; Arthropoda; Insecta; Hymenoptera; Vespidae.
UUAAUUAGCAUUAUGUAUCUACAUACCAUAAAUGUUAAUGGUACUCUCUAAGUAAAUAGAAUUACACACAUACAUUGACCAAUCAUAAAGCAUAUUUAAUUUCUGGCAAGCUGACGUAACCAAUGAAAAAAGAUAACCUGUUCAAUCACUAUGUAAAAAAGCACCCUGAUUUUAUACCUUCAAUAUAUGAAAAAUAAAAAAUAUGAAAUUGUUAAACAAUGCGAUAACUAUGCACAGCGAAUUUCAUUAUUUCAAGAAAUAUUGACGAAUAAUAGAGCGAUCAUUUUGUAUGAAUAUUAUAGAUAGCAAGAGGUAAUUUAAUGUAUACAUUGGUUAAAAAAGUAUAAUACGUUGAAGAAUAUUCUUCUGUACAUAUACAGUAAAACCUGGUUUCGUGCGGUUCUUUUUUAUGCGAUUUUAUUUUUGUGCGAUUGGUUUUGUGCGAUUUUAUUUUUGUGCGAUUGGUUUUGUGCGAUUUUAUUUUUGUGCGAUUUAUUUUUAUGCGGUAUAUGAAUCUUAGCGGCGUUAGCACCAGUUUAAUGUUUUCUAUCAAUGUACAUAUAUGUACAUUGGUGUGGAUGAACUCUGAUUACGUGGUCUCUUUGACAACGAUGUAUCUGGACUUCGCGAUGCUCUGUUCAUUUGUUUUAAACAAUCUUCUGACAAGGCAGAGUCAGUUACGUACAUAUUGUCGCUCGACGCGCGAACAGUAUACGCUUCGUAUUCAGAGUUUUAUUCACGAUUCACGUGAUUAAGGAUUCAUUUUAUAGUGAGAUUAAAGACAUAAGUACUCCCUUAAAAUGAAUAAUUAUAGCCAAAAGAAAGUAAAAAGGCAGACAAUUCCAUUAGAAACAAAAAUUCUAAUAUCCACAACUGUUGCUAACGAAUUUAAAUUAGGUGAAUCCACGAUCAGAGCUAUAGCACAAACGAGAGCUGAGAUCAUCCAUGUCUCGUUAUCGUGACGUUUACAAGAAAUUGACUAGUCAACCGUCACAAAAACUCAUUACUGACUUUAUGAUACCAAAAAACAAAUCAAUUGAAAUCCUAUCUUCAAGCGACGAAAGUGAUUUUGAACCAAUUCAUCACAAUAUAGCACAGACGUGCGAGUAAAAUAUAUGAAUCUCUUAAUAGUGCAACAUACGACAGUAGUAAAAGAGCAUCAUAUUCGAGAAAUAUUGUAAUAGAGAAGACGGAAAAAGCUCUCGUGUUGUGGGUUAAAGAUUUACCUAAAAAACGAAUCCCCGUUCACAAAGAAUUAAUUCAAGAAAAAGCUAGACAGUAUUUCAACCAACUGAAGGAUUUAGAACUAAGUUCGUCAUCCUGUUUACGAAAAUUGAAAUUUUCGUAAGUGAAAUUUUCUGCGAGCAAUGGCUGGUUUGCUGGAUUUUUACAACGAUACGCACUUCACAAUGUGAAGAUAUAAGGCGAGGCAGUGUCCGCCGAUGAAACAGCUGCUAUAAAUUAUGGCAAAGUAUUAGCGGAAAUCAUUGAUGACGGUGGAUAUUGCCAAACUGUCAAUGAUAGUGACAUUAUAAAUAGUUUGAUAGAUUAUGAAAAUGGACAAGAAGAACCGGAACCUAUUAUAGCAGAUAAAAUAUAUGCAGGGAUCCAGAUUUCUAAAAAAUUGGAAACGCAUUUUCUUAAAAUAGAUACCAAUGCGGAAAGACGCUUAAAAUUUCAAAAAAAGCUGAGUUCAUGCAUGUCUCGUUAUCGUGACGUUUACAAGAAAUUGACUAGUCAACCGUCGUUACAAAAACUCAUUACUGGUACCAUUACUGAUUUUAUGGUACCAAAAAACAAAUCAAUUGAAAUCCUAUCUUCAAGCGACGAAAGCGAUUUUGAACCAAUUCAUCACAAGAUGCGCGUUUUGGAUUACGACGAGUAGCACCAAACUAUUUAAUGUAUAAUUUGAAAACUUCUCCAUGUAUAUGUACAAUGAAGAAUUAAAUAUUCUUACAAUUUCUUCAGGUCUAAUUUAAUUAUUUAAUUUAAUUGAAAGCAUUCUCUCAUCUAUUUCAUAAGUCAUUGAUGUAUUUUCUAAGUCCGACUUUUUUUAUGUGGUCCCUGUCCACCGCAUAAAAAAAAUUUUAGGUAGUAUAUCGUACAAAGUUGUUUAUUAUAUGUAAGAAUUUAUAAAAUUUCCGAAUAUUUUUUUGUACGAUUUCUUUUAUGCGGUUCCUAUCCACCGCACAAAAAUAGGUUUUACUGUAACGGUUAUUGAGUGAUUAAUCAAAGAUAAAAAAUAAAUAAAGAAACCACAAAGAAGGACGUAAAUGGGCAGUGUCAAACAAAUCUUUUAAUCCACGUCAUAUUCAUUAUGCCCGAUAUAAAGAAAUUCUUUUCAUAAAUCAACAGUUGCAAAGGAUAUAUGUAUUAUAAUAAUAUAUUUUGAUGAGAGAUAGAUUCGUAGGUAUUUAAAUUGCAACGUGUUCCUCCGAAAGUUUAACGUAACUGAUUGAAAUGUAAUGCUUAAAGGUUUAUGCAAUUUCUGCAAAAUGAUUGUUGAAAUAAAUGAUCUAUUCCAAAAUCAUUACGAAGCAUUAGAAUUUACUUCAACAGACGUAUUUCUUAUUUGUGUUAUAUUAUAGUAUACACAAUUAUUUGUUUUAAUGAAAAUUCUAAUGUGCGUAUAGACAUGGUUUAUAAUAAAAUAAAAUAAAAUAAAAACGAAGUGACCUAUACGAACGAAUGUUCGUGGCAGGAUGAAAAAGGAUCGCUUUUUAACGAUCAUAAGUGCUAUGAAUAAAUCAAUAUUCAUAAUAAAGAGUCAUAUUUGUAUAAACUACAAAGUAAAAUACAGUCAGAUAAAUGUGUAGAAUAAAGGCAAAUUAAUUGCUUUCUCAGUUUGCCAAUUUGUCAUAUUUCCUUUUUCUGCCUUCUUCUUUUCUUCAUCAUUUCGUUUUCUCCCUGGACAUUCGGUUUGUCCAAAUUGCGAAUACAGCGAACAUUUAUGGGAAAAGAUGUGUCAUAAUUAACAAAAAAAGGAGGAAAAAGAAAAAAGAAAGAAAAAGAAACGAAAA